Long non-coding RNA from Corvus hawaiiensis (hawaiian crow), 953 nucleotides. RefSeq lists it as uncharacterized. NCBI's taxonomy places the organism in Eukaryota, Metazoa, Chordata, Aves, Passeriformes, Corvidae. The transcript is spliced from 3 exons. The record is from RefSeq and is a predicted model, not a curated record.
CUUGGUGCUGUGCGUGCCUGCAAUAAUUUGUUUUCUUUGCUCUGGUUCAUCUAAACAAGCAGCAGCUGCAGACAUUGCUGCUCCAGGAAGAUGUUGUUUUUUGGCUCAUGAGGUUCUGCAGAUCCUGGGCAGCAGUACAGAGACUUCGAGAGCAGAGCUUUCGCUUCCCCACACAGAGGGAACACAAGGAUGGCCUCCCCCGUGGAGCUCAGCCUCACACAUACCCCGGGGGAAUGUAAGGGGAGCACUCAGCAAAACCCUCAGGAAGCGUUCACUGAUGUGAAAUACCAGCAGGAGGAAAUCUGUGUCCUUGAAAAGGAGGUGCAGGAUGUGCUGCAGCGGUGCCUGGUGCAGAGGAACAGCGGGGUCUGCUGUGAUUUCACACCGGGAAAGAUGCUGAUCUCAUCCACCUGGAGGAGUCUGAAAAAUUUGCUGUGAUUGCAGAAUGAAGCCUCUGCAAAGUGUUUGGUUCUCACAGAUAGAAUCAUCCCUAGUGACAGAGCAAUCUUCUUUAACCUGAUUUAACCCUUCCAUCAUCUGACAACCUCAUUCUAUGCUUGUUCUCUAACACAGAGAGCUGGUGAUGUGGUACCAAUGGGUAGGAUCUGUUCUUCAGAAGUUAGCAGAAAUCUGACGGUGUAAAAAAUUAAGCCUUUAAGUGUUUCCCAGUCUAUUGUAUUUUUGUUUCUCUCAGUUCUCACCUGUAGCAGGGGAUGGGAUAAAUACUGAAAUCAGUGGAGACUGUUAGAAGGAAAAUGUCCAAGCAAAGAUGACAAGGAAUGGUGAAACCCAGUAAAAACAUCUACUUAUUUGUAAAGAAAGGCAGUGCAUUUUAAUGAUGUUAUAGGGAUGAUCACAAAUCAUUUUGAGAAGGUUUAAGUAUGAUUAGCAAAGAAAAAAAAGACAACUUUUUUGAUGCUUUAGUUCAGCAAACCAAUUACAGAGUAACUUAA